GACGAACGCUGGCGGCGUGCUUAACACAUGCAAGUCGAACGGAAAGGCCCUGCUUUUGUGGGGUGCUCGAGUGGCGAACGGGUGAGUAACACGUGAGUAACCUGCCCUUGACUUUGGGAUAACUUCAGGAAACUGGGGCUAAUACCGGAUAGGAGCUCCUGCUGCAUGGUGGGGGUUGGAAAGUUUCGGCGGUUGGGGAUGGACUCGCGGCUUAUCAGCUUGUUGGUGGGGUAGUGGCUUACCAAGGCUUUGACGGGUAGCCGGCCUGAGAGGGUGAACGGCCACAUGGGGACUGAGAUACGGCCCAGACUCCUACGGGAGGCAGCAGUGGGGAAUAUUGCACAAUGGGCGGAAGCCUGAUGCAGCAACGCCGCGUGCGGGAUGACGGCCUUCGGGUUGUAAACCGCUUUCGCCUGUGACGAAGCGUGAGUGACGGUAAUGGGUAAAGAAGCACCGGCUAACUACGUG
RNAcentral lists this ribosomal RNA (468 nucleotides) under uncultured bacterium. Its description in RNAcentral is "partial 16S ribosomal RNA". It matches the Rfam family "Bacterial small subunit ribosomal RNA", at positions 28 to 507 of the family's 1533-position model. The record is from RNAcentral.